This 5876-nucleotide long non-coding RNA is filed under the name Elaeis guineensis (African oil palm). RNAcentral's name for it is "long non-coding RNA (EGUI_LNC000132)". Lineage: Eukaryota; Viridiplantae; Streptophyta; Magnoliopsida; Arecales; Arecaceae. The record is from RNAcentral.
GGAGGGAGGGCCGGGUGCUUCCCCCCAAAUUCAUCUAUUUCUGCCUGCCCACUCGCGUGAUAACGUUUCAACGAACGCGCCGCUCUCCCCCCCUCCCCUCGUCUCUCUCACUUUAAUUCCUUCCUUUCUUUUGGGAUGCCUCGGAGGCGGCGGUCUCAGGCCCUUAAAGGUCUCGAGGCGUGUCAUUGUUGUUAGGGUUUGUCCAAGCGAGAGAGAGGAGGGACUCCCCGUCACGCAUCCUUCCCUCCCUCAAGAGAUCGAGGCCAUGACGUCCAAGGCCUCGUUUUCGGCUUCCGCCAGCAAAUCCGAGCCAUCGGCCGGUCUUCAGGUUCGCCGAUCUCUGUCCCCCACCUAUCGGUUUCCGCCUUUAUGUCUUUUUCCCUCCCACCUUUUGUACUUCUCAAUAGCUGGUGCCUGUAAAUUCGAUUUCUUGACCUUGUCCCCUUUCCAAGCCCGGGGUUUUCCAGGAGAUUGGAUUUUUCCUGCAAUGUCGGUGGGUCAUACGAUUUCUUUCUGGUGGUUUCCAUCGCGAUGGAAGCCACAUUGUCGCAGGGUGCUCUUAUCUCAGCUGGGAAUUUUGGUUUCCCAGGGUGAACAGGUGUCACCCCAAAAGCAAGCUCAGUCCACUGUCUUGUGACCACCUGAUCACUCCUUAAGCGUGAUAUUUUUCAUUAACGUCAUCGUGUGAUGUGAAUGCAAAUUCGUUGCUCUUGCAUAGAUCCCGGCUCAAAGAUUUCAAAACAGUCUUGUUGCCGCAAGGCUCCAGUACAAGGAGAAAGUGGCUGUGGUCGGCGCAAGUCCGAUCUGGAGCUCGGUGGUCAGCGGAUCUCCGAGGAUGGUCGACAGCUCCCAGAUUCUGAAAAAGAAGUCCAGUCACUAGCAUUUCUCUGGUGGAGGACCCUUCAAUGCUUAGAAGUCCAGUCACUAGCAUUUCUCUGGUGGAGGACCCUUCAAUACUUAAGUUAGCCGGAGCUAUGAGAAUAUUGAGAGGGAGAGAACGAGCGGGUGUUUCUGGAUUUUUAGAGUCUAAGGAGCUUACCAAAGGGUCCUUUGGGUCUCCUUUUAUAGAAAGAAAGGAAAUACGUUAUCCUAUUAAUUGGUAACUGACACGGAGAAUUAAGACCCACAAUACGAUCGUGGGCAGUGGGCAGUAAAUUCUAUUAACCUACUGCCACAUUUUUUUGUAACUGCUUGAGAUUUGAGGGGGUUUCCAUCAUCCCAUGUUCUUCUUUGAAACAAUCUAAUGCCUUGGGUUCAUCUGUGAGUCAUCGGUUCCAAUCUGACCAUGUGGUCGGUAUGAGUCCAACCAGGUCAUCGGCUUAAGGCCGAGGACAUGGGUUAAUUCCCUUGUAGCUGUCUAGUGUUCAUUUUAAGGGAACCAAAGUGGGUGCUCACUGGUGGUCUGAAGAGAAAAAGUUGAGGUCUGGCGGUAUCCUCCCAAAUCAAGUGUCAAUAAAGAUUAUUUGUUUUUCAUAAUCCGAAGAGGCACUACUCUCAAAUGAAAGUCUGGUACACAAGUUAUAUGUAGAGGUGAAAGUGGUAUAGAUAUUAUUCGUUCGGAUUUGUUUUCGUAUUCGAAUCAAUUCGGAUAUGGACAGAAAUUUGAGGAUUCGACUAAUACCCAUAUCCGUAUCCAUAUUCAUCAAAGAAAAAUGGAUAUGGAUAGAUAAUUAUCCGAUCCGUAUCCGAAUAUCCGAAUCAAUAUAUAAUGCUUUAUAAUUUUGUAUAUCAUUUAUUAAUUUUUAUGAGAAAUAUACAACCUUAUAAACAUGUUAUUAACUUGAUUUAUCAUCUAUUUAGUAAUAUCUUUGAUUUUGUAGCCAUAAAGUUUAAUUAUUUAAGUAAUAUCCGUAAUUAUAUCUAUACUUCUGGUAUCAAAAUUGUAUCCAUAUCUGUUUAAAACAAAUAUGGAUAUGAAUUUUUGCAUCUGAACAAUAUCCAUAUCUGUAUUUAUAUUCAUCAAACAAAACAAAUAUUGAUAUGGAUAUGUUGGUAACCAAUCCAUAUCCGAUUCGGUUUCAGUCCUAGUUAUAUGCUUUCUUGAUUUGGUAUGAUCUUGGAAUCUUGGACCUAUUUAUGUGCAAUCGGUUGACAUAAUUCCAUAACUCCCAAAUUCCUCUUAGAUACUAUACAAAGUAGAUGAAAACUUAAGUCAUCUCCUUUUAUGCUGUUUGUUUCUUAAUUUCAAUCUUCUUGCUGGUUUUAACAUUAGCUUGUUUUGUGGUAUGAUCUUUCGUUGGCAUGGCCAAUUGUUUCCCUAAGAUCCAAUAGCACUUGCAAAGGAUUUGUACUUAAUGCGCUCAAAAUAUGCACAAUCUCUUCCAAGAUGUUGUCAUGAGUGCCACUUUAUAUGAUGAAGGAAAAACCAUGUGUCAGCUCAACCAUCAUCUACUAUUGCUUUACCAAAAAUUUGCAAACAAUGCUGAGUGAAUUUGCCACAAUGUGAAUGCCAUAUCGCAUUAUUCUCCUUCCAUUUGAUUACUAGGCAAAAACUUGAUUCGACAUGUGCUUGAAUUCCGUGUGCUCAUGAUUGUUAAACCAUGACACAUGAUAUGGUUGGCUGUUGUUCAAUACCUUAAAAAGAGAUUCUUACCAGCAUCUAACUCAUGUGAUGCACAGUAUGCAGUUUCUUUCUCCUUUUUCUAAUUGUUUGAAAUGCAAUGUAGAAUGCAUAUAAUAGAAAAGAUAACAAAAAUGUAAUGAAAUAUAAUAGUUAUAAGAGUCUAAUUCAUGAUUUUCAGAACCGUCUCAAACCAGACGGUUCGGGGCAUGCCGAACCGGAUCGACAGAGAAUCGGGACGGUUUCAGCUUGAAAAGUGGCACACGCCGGUGCCGAGGGAGAAAGAGAGGGAAAAAGAGGAAGAGAGAGAGGAGGAGAGGGAGAGAGACUACAACGCCAUCAGAGACCGACGGUGGUUUGUUGUGGUUGUCGGAGGGUGGUGAAAGCCUCUGCAGCUCGAUUCGUCUGAUAGGACUUUUAAAUAAGAGAGAAAGAGAGAGGAGGGAGCGACUUACUGGAGGGAUGCGCAGCCGGCGGAGGGCCCGUCGGAGCUUGUCGGGUGGCUGCCGUAGCCAUUGACUGGCGGAAACCAUGUGGGCGGAUCCGUUCACGUUUUUUUGACUUUUUUUGAAAAAAAACCUAGUAAAAUAGGGGCAUCGUCCCUAUUUCAUGUCCGCAGUGUUGCAUGUGUGGACUGCGCCAUCCGACGGCCACGGUGGCCGGUCGGAGGCCAUUCGAUGGCCCCUCCGACUCCUUCCCCUCCCUUCUUUUCUUUCUUCCCCCCUAUCUCUAUUUCUCUUUCUCUUUUUUCCUCCUCCCGGUUCGCUUCCUUUUCCUAUGUCGGUUUGCAUCGGUCCGGUCCGGUCUAAUACGGCCGUACCGUCAGUCAGUCGGCAUAGGCUUUCGAUGCCGAGUCUGCGAAUCUUGAUUUGAUUAUUUAAUUUUUGAUGCUAAUAUUAUGACAUACUAUCACUAUAUAAAAUUCUAAUGGCAUAUGUAUAUCUAUUGAUAUAAUAAAUGAUAUAUUAUUUUAAAAUAAUAAAAUCAUAAUCCAACCUAUGUGUAAUAAGAAAUAGAAAAAUAUUGUAUCUAGAGAAUAUUUAGAUGCAAUAUAGUGGGUCAUUAGUGGUUAUACUUUCACAUUUAUGUAUGAUCAUGAUCAUAAAAAUACAAUAGAAAUUAAUAAAAUAUUAGUGCAAUCUAAUGACCCAUGUGAUGCAUAUGGGCUGCGCACAGUACUUAUGUAAAGUAUUUUUCAUUAAUAUUAGCAUACGUUAAGCAAAUAUGAUUAUUUAAAUGCCAUUAAUUUAUGUAUUAAUUUAGUAGUACUGAUUGAUAUGGUUUAAUAAGCUAAUAAGUUUGUUGUGAUAUUUUUUGAUAAAGAACCUUGUUAAAUAAGAGCUCUACUUGUUAUCUAUAAUAAAGAGCUCUAUUAAUAAUACUAUUAAUAUGGCAUCCACAUGAUGAAUGGAGAGCUCUGCACAAGCAGAGCCUCCAUUUUAGUAUAUAUAUAUAUAUAUGUGUGUGUGUGUGUAUUAGAUAUGUCGACCAACCACCAUUAAUUAUCAUGCUUCACAAUUAUCCACCAUAAGCAUCUUACCUUUAGUUUUCAGAAUGCUUAUGACCAUGCAGUAAGCUCUUCUUGGGGCUCCUCCUUCCUUUCCCCGGUAAUGGCUAUAGGUCAUUCUGCCUUGUUAUAGAAAAGAAAUUUUCAUAUUCUUCUUUAGGGGCAUUGCUGUUCUAACCUAUGCAACUACAUAUGUGUAUGCAAUAUGCAGUCCCAUGAUGAACAGUAAUUGAUCAAACUGCCUGCCUUUGCAACUUGGUUACAAAUGUGUGGAUUUGUUGGUUUUAAAGAUUGCUUCAUACUUAUCCCUUUGUCCUAAUGGGACUGGGGAGAGGAACCAUAAAGGAACAAGCAUGGUAGAGGAUGCUUGCUGCUGACAACUGAUGGUAAACAAGGGCAUUUGGACUGUGGAUAGAAUAACUCUAUCAGCGACUGGUAUCAGUGUACUUUUAUUUUUAUUUUAUAAACUUUCUCAUCCCAUUCUUCUCAUCUAUGCCUCCAUAUCCUUCCUUAUUCCCUUCUUUGCCCUUUUGCCCAUCCCCAUCUCCUUCCACCGCUUCUUUCUCCUCCUUUUGUCUUGUUCCUCCUCUUCCAUGUAGAUGCCGGUAUCUUGAAAUGUUGCAUACUACAGUCACUUAUGAGAACCUUCAAAAACUCUUUCUUUUAGGAGAUUAAUCUUUCUUCUCGAACAACAGGAUUUAGGAUGCAGAUUACAUCUGCAACAUUGAAUUCACAAUAAGUGAUCCACAUCUAAUUUUUUCUUUUUCUCAAACCAGAAUUAGUUUGCUGAAAGAAGAAUAUAGUUCAGAUAUUAUGCAAAAAUAAAGGUUCUAUGUGAGACUGUCUUUGACCUGAGGGCAAUUCAUCACACUCAGAAACAAAAGAAAAGAGGAGGGAGGAACUAGAAUUUCAUUGUACCAUCUCAAGCUUAUGUACAUAUAUGAGCCAUUGGGAUUUAAACCCUAGGAGAACAGAAGCAAAAGUCUUAAUCUAAUACAUUGAUAUGACUAAAUUAAUCAUACCCCUUAAAUCAAGCUAGUGUUUAAAGAUGAACUAUCUGACAUACAAGAAUGAUAUUUAUGUCCCUAACUGCAUUUUAGCCUUUUAAUCCAUGAAAACGUUGUUUGUCUAUUCACAUAGCACAUCCAAAAUAUGUGUUCAGCACCAUCAAAUCAUCCAUAGUUUUGCUUAAAUGGACAGCCCAUUUUUAAUUUUUGGCCCUUGGAAUUUCCAAUUGUAAUUGAACCUGUCCCAUUAGCCUAGGUGUCUAACUUCCUUUCGUUAUAGUAUUAAAGCAAUUAUCAUGUAUAAAAAUAUUUCUCAUGAGGAACUUUCUGACAUAGUAGAGGUCCUUUACUCCUUUUCAGCAUAGAACCUGAUGCAAGAGUUGCUUUCAAAGAUGUUUCGUCAACCUUCUGCAAUUGCUUAUAUGUACUAAAAUUAUUUGGAAUUUACCAUGUUUUGAUAUUAUCAUUGCAUUGAGGACUAAUGCAUUCUUGGAUUUAUCUUCAUUGCUAGGAGCCUAGUCAUGUGAUCGGUGAGGCAUGACAUGGCACACUUCUACCAUACUAUGUUAGCCCAUCAUUGACACAAGCGUAAGACAAGAUAUUUUAAUCUUAAUUUUCCUUGUUAGAUAGCACUUAAGAAUCUUUAGCUGAUUGUUGUUUUCAAGAUGAGAAAUCACAUAUUGUUUGAUAUUUUGUGAACUAUGAUGUGUCUCACAAGGAUCUUGUUCCCUUGUGGUGAUAUGCACUCUAGAUUAUGAUAUAUAUAUGUGUGUGUGUGUGUGUGUGUGUGUGUGUGUAUAUA